UGGGGGAGCCACAAGGAAGUCUGUCAGGAACAUUGCUUUUCUGAGUAGUCAGUAAUUCCCAACUUAAUUUAUUAAUCACAUUAUCAUAGCAUACAUUACAUAUGAUCUGAAACCAGUAGCAACCCAUAUUUCGAUCACAAAUAUAUCAGAGUUUAUAGUUUGUUGAAUAUAAUUAAGAUUUUGAAAUCUUAAACACAGUAGUGCCUUUAGUAAUAGUACCACACAUAUCAGCACAC
RNAcentral lists this long non-coding RNA (236 nucleotides) under Vigna radiata. RNAcentral's name for it is "long non-coding RNA (VRAD_LNC013179)". Lineage: Eukaryota; Viridiplantae; Streptophyta; Magnoliopsida; Fabales; Fabaceae. The record is from RNAcentral.